Molecule: ribosomal RNA, 420 nt
Filed under: Triticum aestivum (bread wheat)
Lineage: Eukaryota; Viridiplantae; Streptophyta; Magnoliopsida; Poales; Poaceae
Description: partial small subunit ribosomal RNA
Source: RNAcentral
AUGGACCCAACUGAGAUUUUGAACGUUUGGUUUCAUAUUGGAGGGAAGUUCAUCCGCAUUGGUCCAAAUUUGGACUAUGUUGGGGGAGAUCAAGCAAUGUCAGAGAUUGAGAGGGAUAAAUAGUCUCUGCAGGAAGUGAAAGGCUAUUUAAAAGAUCAUACUCAGUUGAUGGAAUCGAUGAAGUUCUAUUUGCUGCUUCCUGGAAAAGAGCUUAUCAAUGGCUUAGUGUUCCUUGAUGAUGACAGUUGGUGUGUGAAGAUGGCUGAGUACAUUUGUGUUGCAGGAGUUGCUGAUGUGUAUGUGGAGUAUCAUGGAGAGGAAGAUAGCAAUGACAACAGCAGUGGGAUUGAUUUUGAGGAUGAAAUCAUGGAACAGAGUGAUGAUGAUGAACUAGAUGCAGUUAUAACUGCUGAAGAACCA